RNAcentral lists this unclassified non-coding RNA (876 nucleotides) under Hevea brasiliensis (rubber tree). Lineage: Eukaryota; Viridiplantae; Streptophyta; Magnoliopsida; Malpighiales; Euphorbiaceae. The record is from RNAcentral.
GGGAAAAGAGUACAUAAAGAGAUAGGGUUUUGAGAGUUGCAUUGAGUAAUGACGUAGAUCUUAAUCAUUUGCAAUUAACAAAACUACCUUACACCAGUUAGAAAGUUUUCUAAAUACUUGAGCUUCAAGAUCUACUACUACCAUUGCUGAAUGUAUGUUACGUCACAGGUGACAUACCAAAACAUGAUCAAGAGUCCUUAGAAAUACCAUGAUCAGCAGCAUCUAACCCUUGAUUCCUUGGUAGAAGAUAGGAUGGAAGAAAUGACGGGAUUACAAGUGCCAGUGCUAAGCAGAGCACCACCAGCACUACGACAUACCAUGCUUGAUGAGGGAUGCCAAAUAGUAGCUCAUCACAUACUAUAUUAUAUAUGAUGUGCUCUCUCUCCUUUACCCCAGGUAUUGCAACAAUUCCCUCAGGCUCCACAUUUACCAGGACAAACAUUUUUCCCUCGUCACCAAGCAAUUGAAGACUGUUGUCCGCCUGAAAAAUAAUCUUUUCAGUAUUCAGUAACUUCCUACCAACAUUUAGCCCUGAACUUCCUUUACUUAGUUGUAGAGUAAAAGUAGCUGGUAUAGAAGCAGGAUAUGAGAUCUUCACUUCAUACCACUUAUUGGAAUUCAACCCUUGCAGUUCAUAUAGUCUCGAUCCGGAUUGUAAUGGAAGAGUUUCCUUCAUUAGCUCCUGUCCGACUUGCAAAACUUUUAUAUCCAUCAUGUAUCCCUGAGCGAAUGAGAUUGGGGCUAGAACAAGUAUGAGAAUGGAGAAACAACUGCAGAGUGAAGUUGAAACGCUCCUCAUAGUCGUUUGAUCUGAUUUUCAAUGAUGUAUACUGUAUAUACGCAUAAAUCCAGACCUCUGUAUCAGAGAUACCAUAG